AGAGUUUGAUCCUGGCUCAGGGCGAACGCUGGCGGCAGGCUUAACACAUGCAAGUCGAGCGGUAACAGGGAUAGCUUGCUAUCUGCUGACGAGCGGCGGACGGGUGCGUAACACGUAGGAAUCUACCCAGUAGCGGGGAUAGCCCGGAGAAAUCCGGAUUAAUACCGCAUACGCCCUACGGGGGAAAGCAGGGGAUUCUUUCUUUGGAGAGAACCUUGCACUAUUGGAUGAGCCUGCGUCUGAUUAGCUAGUUGGUGAGGUAAAGGCUCACCAAGGCGACGAUCCGUAGCUGGUCUGAGAGGAUGAUCAGCCACACUGAGACUGAGACACGGCCCAGACUCCUACGGGAGACAGCAGUGGGGAAUAUUGCACAAUGGGCGCAAGCCUGAUGCAGCCAUGCCGCGUGUGUGAAGAAGGCUCUAGGGUUGUAAAGCACUUUCAGCGAGGAGGAAAGGUUGUAAGUUAAUACCUUGCAGCUGUGACGUUACUCGCAGAAGAAGCACCGGCUAACUCCGUGCCAGCAGCCGCGGUAAU
Molecule: ribosomal RNA, 534 nt
Filed under: uncultured Hahellaceae bacterium
Lineage: Bacteria; Pseudomonadati; Pseudomonadota; Gammaproteobacteria; Oceanospirillales; Hahellaceae
Description: bacterial SSU rRNA
Rfam family: Bacterial small subunit ribosomal RNA
Source: RNAcentral